CGCAAGUGGGGGUAUUUGGACGCAGCAUUAGUCAGAACUCACAGUGUUUGAGCGUAUAGGAGGAACGAUUGCCUCCAUGCUUAUUUGCAACUGAUAGUAACAGCCUGUGAAUGCUUCCUUCCAGUAUGGAUAAGCCUCUUCAACCCCAAGUGCAAGGGUUUUUUCCAAUGCUGGAGACACCAUUUGCCCAAAAGGAUUAAUAUAUAUUCCCAGAAAAGGCUGAUAUGUUAAGUCAAAUGAGGAGAGAAGAAAACAAGAGAGAAUGACAUCACAGACAGAGGGGAGAGUGAGGAAGAGGAUGAUAUUCAGAUGAUGAAUUGAAAAUGAAAUCCACGGAGAGCUCAACAUUAUCUCUGCACCCACUUGGUUGUCAAUGGACAAAGAUGUACCAAGACAUUCCACCUACAAUGACAUCUGAUGACCAGGCAGGUGGUGGAAUCAGAAAAAUGCAUAUCCUUUCCUGUCAGAUCUUGCCUUUUCAUAUUUAUGUGUGCAGGCCUCUUCAACCCCAAGUGAAAAGGUUUUUUUAACUGCUGGAGACAUUAUUUGCCCUAAAAGACUCAUAUAUUCCCAGAAAAGGCUGAUAUGUCGAUUUUUCUGAAUAAAAAUUGUUAAGCACCGGUGACAACUGUAGCAAACCCCUACAAGCCCUUGCACUCUUAAAAACAAGUCCUAUACAAUUUAUUGAGAUGCAGCCAACAAGUAUGGAACUUUAACUUUUUUGACCAUGAGCAGCUCAGUUUUUAUGUAGACUAGUGCAGGUUUUUGUUUGUUAUCUGACAAUACCAACCCUAAUUAGAUUACAGAAUGAUUAUUAGGUCGCAGAUUGACUGUCACACAGGACUUUAAAUGAAAUCAGGUGUACAGCUUUGUUCUUAUAGAUUUAACCAUGUGUUACUGAUUUAGAACUUAUUAAACCUAUUAAAGAAAUAAGCAGUGGAUGAUUUUCUCUUUAUCAUAUUAAUAUUAAGAACACAAUGGUUGCGUUAACACUGGAUAAACAUCCAAACUACAAAUAAUAAACAUCCACUAUUCUUUAUGAAGGACAUUUGCUGGGUUUUCACAAGCAGGUUCACAUUAUGUAAUGAACAUCGUUUUAAUUGUAAAAUUAUUUAAAGAUAGAAUAGUUCUGGUAUGAAAAUGGCAUAGAAAGGCUAAUUUAGUAAGUAAUUUUGUUUUCGGUUUAUGAUUUUAAUUGUUAUAUAGCAUUUUAAUUGUUACAUUACAUUUGCAUGUUGUCAGUAGUUUUUAUUUUAUUUCACAAUAUUAAUUAUCAGACUUCUAUUAAGAGGGCAUUCCCCUAAAGCAAGAGAGCCUUAAACAUACAUAUAUCAAAAUAUAAAAUAAAUGGUCUGAUAAAGAUCAUCAGUAAAUCCAACUGGGCUUAAUUGAUUCAAUAUUUAUUUAUUUUAAAAAAACAUAUUGUCCAGACCUCCGUUUUGGAAGAAAAUAUAAAGACUGUGGAAGCUAGGACCUGCAUUAAUAUUUGUAAAGACUUU
Triplophysa dalaica is the source of this 1499-nucleotide long non-coding RNA. RefSeq lists it as uncharacterized. NCBI's taxonomy places the organism in Eukaryota, Metazoa, Chordata, Actinopteri, Cypriniformes, Nemacheilidae. The record is from RefSeq and is a predicted model, not a curated record. The transcript is spliced from 3 exons.